CAUUCUGUAAACGUAGCAAACGAUUCGAUUAGUCGAUUGUCAAUCGCGAUCCCUAAUUCCUAUUCCAUCGAUUUGUAUCGUUAUGCGAGAUAUUUAAGAAUCAUCCACCGUUUGCUAUCGACUUUGCCCAGGGAAUCGCGUAAUAUCGUUCUGUAAUAUUUCAGGAAGAAACGAAGCGCAAUUGGCGAUAUACGCGUUAAAGAGGAUACACCAUCUUGAAGAUCGAUUCUGUGAGAACUCGUGUCAAGUGCUUCGACGAUGCGUUCCCGUCACGUCCGUAUGAACACGUCACGAUCAACCGGCACAGUGGCGCGAAUAAAUAGCUGCAGUUGGAAAAAUGCGAGUUUAUUUAAAUGGAUAUGCGAAAUGGAUUUGGAUUUGUUCAAAGGGAUAAAUUUUGAGGAUCGGAGAGACGAUAGGCUGCGUCCUCGCUGAAGCAACACCGAGCAGCUUUUCGUUGCCUGUCGUUGCUGCAUGUUCCGAACGAAAUUAAACAAAUAUCGAAUCGUAAAAUUAGACAUUUUGAGUUCUCUUUUUCGAUUUCAAAGCGAAAGUUGUUUUUAAUAAAUCGUCUACAUCCAAAUGCGUUGUAAAAUAAUCGACAAACUGUACACGCUGAAGGAACGUUUGUUUCUGUUGCAACGCGUUGCUGCGUGUUUCUUACUUUUAGCCGCGGUCUUCGACAUUACGGAAACAGGCAACAAGCACCAAGCUUCGUCAUUAGCAACAGAAACGCGAGGGAACAUGAAAGAACACCGAGCAACGACUCGUAACUUUUUCAUGCAACUUGAAUAAGAAGAUCCUCGUUGUUCAAUCGCUUCAACGAGGACGCAACUUUAGAGGAACAGGUUAGGUAAAUUUUCUGAUUAAUAUAUACUCUUUAUUUAAAAAUCAGCACACACGCAGGUAAACCUAGGUAAGAGGAAGCAUGCCGAUAUCGUUGACCGGAAACAACCGAAGACGGUCUCCGUUUACCUUUUUCAUACGAGCGACGUUUCUUUUACUCUGUCUCGUUUGUCGUUCCUACUUCGUUUCGUCGUCCUGCAACCAUCACCCCCAUCCUGCUUUACGGAUCGAUCAACGACCCGCUAGGAAACGUGGAACGAACGUAUUUACUAAUAAAAUUUACAUAUUCGAACGAUUCAACUACUAUCACGAAAUAGUUGGUCUAAUUGUAAGCGUCGAGCGUUACCAGCGAACGCUAUACUCUGUUACGUUAACUGUUACGUUACCCUUUAAAUAAAUAUAUUGAAAACUAAGACGACAAAUCCUGACGUAUUGCUAAUGCAACGUGUCGAUACUUAAAAGCGAACUUACACGCUAUAUUACCCGAUACUUGGAGAUCCCGUAAAUCUAAUAGUAGCGAUUAUUCCAAUAAAGAAUCGUCAUUGCUAGCCGCGAAACGUAGAAAAAUAAAUACUUCUUGAGGAGUAGCCUGGUUCGGAGAUGGGGGGUUCUUGAUAAGGUCUCUUUGGUACACGCACGAUGUAGCACGGUGGUCGGAUUGACUAGACAAGAUCUACUACAAGGCGCUACUAUCCUCGUUCUCGAUCCUUUCACCAUAUAAUAUAUGCAACAGGUGUUUUUCAAAGUCAACAACAUUUGUCUUACAACGUUUAGACGCGGCGCGCCUAAUUCAAAAAUACUUCUCAGAAUACUCCGCGUACUUCGUCGGUGCUAUACAUACUUUACGUAAGCUUUCGUAGCUAUACGUGCUUUAUAUAAGCUCCUCCUCCCACCCUUUCCUACAAGAUUUCCUUACACCGUUGUUAUUCAAAUUCAUGCGCGUGUUUCGCUUUUCAGCUGGAUACGUUGGCGGCGACGCAAAGCUAUACAACUCAAUUAAUACUGAAAGUUAUGGCGAAAUCCCUCGUUCGGCUAUUCCUCUACGCGAAUUAACGUACACGAUAAUGCGCACGAUAAUGGUCUGAUCCGCGAGUCAACCGAGUUGAACCGAAAGAUCGUUAUCGUAGAAGCGCGUCCUCGACCAGCGAAGAGGCGUUACGAAAAUCACAGAAUAUUGCACGCGACACGAUGCGGAGACACAGGAUGGAAUAGAGAAAUAUGUUGUAGCUUGUCACGAUACCGCGCUCGAAACGAAUAUCAUCGAUAAUCUCGAGCGACGUUCGUUUAAGAUAAUUGCUAGAAUUAGCGGCAACAGGGAAACGUUACGACUUUCGAUAAACCGUUUAUGACCGUAACAAUAGCCAAGAUACGUCUCGGCUUUUCCCUUGGACGUCGAGCUGUUAA
This is a long non-coding RNA of Bombus impatiens (common eastern bumble bee), 2250 nucleotides long. RefSeq lists it as uncharacterized. The record is from RefSeq and is a predicted model, not a curated record. NCBI's taxonomy places the organism in Eukaryota, Metazoa, Arthropoda, Insecta, Hymenoptera, Apidae. The transcript has 2 exons.